CUUAGUACGGCGAGUGAGCGGUAAAAGCUCAAAUUUGAAAUCUGGUACUUUCAGUGCCCGAGUUGUAAUUUGUAGAAUUUGUCUUUGAUUAGGUCCUUGUCUAUGUUCCUUGGAACAGGACGUCAUAGAGGGUGAGAAUCCCGUUUGGCGAGGAUACCUUUUCUCUGUAAGACUUUUUCGAAGAGUCGAGUUGUUUGGGAAUGCAGCUCAAAGUGGGUGGUAAAUUCCAUCUAAAGCUAAAUAUUGGCGAGAGACCGAUAGCGAACAAGUACAGUGAUGGAAAGAUGAAAAGAACUUUGAAAAGAGAGUGAAAAAGUACGUGAAAUUGUUGAAAGGGAAGGGCAUUUGAUCAGACAUGGUGUUUUUUGCAUGCACUCGCCUCUCGUGGGCUUGGGCCUCUCAAAAAUUUCACUGGGCCAACAUCAAUUCUGGCAGCAGGAUAAAUCAUUAAGAAUGUAGCUACUUCGGUAGUGUUAUAGCUUUUUGGAAUACUGUUAGCCGGGAUUGAGGACUGCGCUUCGGCAAGGAUGUUGGCAUAAUGGUUAAAUGCCGCCCGUCUUG
This 561-nucleotide ribosomal RNA is filed under the name Hanseniaspora uvarum. RNAcentral describes it as "eukaryotic LSU rRNA". It matches the Rfam family "Eukaryotic large subunit ribosomal RNA", at positions 79 to 656 of the family's 3401-position model. Lineage: Eukaryota; Fungi; Ascomycota; Saccharomycetes; Saccharomycodales; Saccharomycodaceae. The record is from RNAcentral.